Molecule: ribosomal RNA, 264 nt
Filed under: uncultured bacterium
Lineage: Bacteria
Description: partial 16S ribosomal RNA
Rfam family: Bacterial small subunit ribosomal RNA
Source: RNAcentral
UCCCUACGGGAGGCAGCAGUGAGGAAUAUUGGUCAAUGGACGCAAGCCUGAACCAGCCAAGUCGCGUGAGGGAUGACGGUCCUAUGGAUUGUAAGCCUCUUUUGUCGGGGAGCAAGGCCCGCCACGUGUGGCGGGAAGGAGAGUACCCGAAGAAAAAGCAUCGGCUAACUCCGUGCCAGCAGCCGCGGUAAUACGGGGGAUGCGAGCGGUAUCCGGAUUUAUUGGGGUUAAAGGGGGCGUAGGCGGAAGGUUAAGUCAGCGGCC